This 498-nucleotide ribosomal RNA is filed under the name uncultured bacterium. RNAcentral describes it as "partial 16S ribosomal RNA". It matches the Rfam family "Bacterial small subunit ribosomal RNA", at positions 30 to 523 of the family's 1533-position model. The record is from RNAcentral.
AUUGAACGCUGGCGGCAUGCCUUACACAUGCAAGUCGAACGGCAGCACGGGAGCAAUCCUGGUGGCGAGUGGCGAACGGGUGAGUAAAGUAUCGGAACGUGCCCAGUCGUGGGGGAUAACGUAGCGAAAGUUACGCUAAUACCGCAUAAGAUCUAUGGAUGAAAGCGGGGGAUCGCAAGACCUCGCGCGAUUGGAGCGGCCGAUAUCAGAUUAGGUAGUUGGUGGUAAAGGCUCACCAAGCCGACGAUCUGUAGCUGGUCUGAGAGGACGACCAGCCACACUGGGACUGAGACACGGCCCAGACUCCUACGGGAGGCAGCAGUGGGGAAUUUUGGACAAUGGGCGAAAGCCUGAUCCAGCCAUGCCGCGUGCAGGAUGAAGGCCUUCGGGUUGUAAACUGCUUUUGUACGGAACGAAAAGGUUUGGGCUAAUAAGCUGAGCUCAUGACGGUACCGUAAGAAUAAGCACCGGCUAACUACGUGCCAGCAGCCGCCGCCG